This 241-nucleotide long non-coding RNA is filed under the name Bos taurus (domestic cattle). RNAcentral's name for it is "long non-coding RNA NONBTAT026301". Lineage: Eukaryota; Metazoa; Chordata; Mammalia; Artiodactyla; Bovidae. The record is from RNAcentral.
UGUAUUUCAUGUAUACAGCUUGCUAGUCCUUUGUUACCAGGUGUUGGCUGGAGUGAUACAGUGUAGCGUUUUGCUAUGUGAACAACUUGUAUGAGGUUCUAACUGUUUCCUGAGCCUUUUUAAAAAGGAUACUUUAUCUUUCCAGUUUGGCUAAAGGGUGAACUAACUGAUAACAGAUGCCACUAAGUCUUUAGCUUCAGUAGCAGUUUUACUGGUAGAAUGAUAACAGGAAUUCCGAUGG